CCUACGGGAGGCAGCAGUAAGGAAUAUUGGUCAAUGGAGGCAACUCUGAACCAGCCAUGCCGCGUGCAGGAAGACUGCCCUAUGGGUUGUAAACUGCUUUUAUACGGGAAUAAACCUUGAUUCGUGAAUCGAGCUGAAUGUACCGUAAGAAUAAGGAUCGGCUAACUCCGUGCCAGCAGCCGCGGUAAUACGGAGGAUCUAAGCGUUAUCCGGAUUUAUUGGGUUUAAAGGGAGCGUAGGCGGCCUAUUAAGUCAGGGGUGAAAGACGGUGGCUCAACCAUCGCAGUGCCUUUGAUACUGGUAGGCUUGAAUGUAGUUGAGGUAGGCGGAAUGUGACAAGUAGCGGUGAAAUGCAUAGAUAUGUCACAGAACACCGAUUGCGAAGGCAGCUUACUAAGCUAUGAUUGACGCUGAGGCUCGAAAGCGUGGGGAUCAAACAGGAUUAGAUACCCUGGUAGUCCACGCCCUAAACGAUGAUAACUCGAUGUUGGCGAUAUACAGUCAGCGUCCAAGCGAAAGCGUUAAGUUAUCCUCGUGGUAGUUACGCCGCGAGGUUAGAACGACGAGAGUAGAGGNGNGAGAGNGCGACGGACGACGACGAGGAGGAGG
RNAcentral lists this ribosomal RNA (609 nucleotides) under uncultured bacterium. RNAcentral describes it as "bacterial SSU rRNA". The stretch from base 1 to 535 matches the Rfam family "Bacterial small subunit ribosomal RNA", at positions 338 to 873 of the family's 1533-position model. The record is from RNAcentral.